UACAGAGGUCUCAAGCGUUGUUCGGAUUCAUUGGGCGUAAAGGGUGCGUAGGUGGCGCGCUAAGUCAGGUGUGAAAUUUCGGAGCUUAACUCCGAACCUGCAUUUGAUACUGGCGUGCUUGAGGACUGGAGAGGAGAGUGGAAUUCACGGUGUAGCAGUGAAAUGCGUAGAUAUCGGGAGGAAGACCAGUGGCGAAGGCGGGUCUCUGGACAGUUCCUGACACUGAGGCACGAAGGCCAGGGGAGCAAACGGG
Molecule: ribosomal RNA, 253 nt
Filed under: uncultured bacterium
Lineage: Bacteria
Description: partial 16S ribosomal RNA
Rfam family: Bacterial small subunit ribosomal RNA
Source: RNAcentral